Molecule: ribosomal RNA, 1436 nt
Filed under: uncultured Bordetella sp.
Lineage: Bacteria; Pseudomonadati; Pseudomonadota; Betaproteobacteria; Burkholderiales; Alcaligenaceae
Description: partial 16S-23S ribosomal RNA intergenic spacer
Rfam family: Bacterial small subunit ribosomal RNA
Source: RNAcentral
GUUUUGAUUAUGGCUCAGAUUGAACGCUGGCAGGAUGCUUUAUGCAAGUCCGAACGGCAGCACGGACUUCGGUCUGGUGGCGAGUGGCGAACAAUUGAGUAAUGUAUCGAACCGUGCCUAGUGGCGAGGAUAACUACGCGAAAGCGUAUGUACCGCAUACGCCCUUCGAGCAGGGGACCUUCGGGCCUCGCACUAUUAGAGCAGCCGAUAUCGGAUUAGCUAGUUGGUGGUAGCGGCUCGCAAGGCGACGAUCGUAGCUGGUUUGAGACGACCAGCCACACUGGGACUGAGACACGGCCGAACUCCUACAGGAGGCAGCAGUGGGGAAUUUUGGACAAUGGGGGAAACCUGAAGUCCAGCCAUCCCGCGUGUGCGAUGAAGGCCUUCGGGUUGUAAGCACUUUGGCAGGAAAAACAGCGCGGAUAAUACGUGCAGCCAGCAGUACCUGCAGAAUAAGCACCGGCUAACUACGACAGCAGCCGCGGUAAUACGUAGGGUGCAAGCGUUAAUCGGAAUUACUGGGCGUAAAGCGUGCGCGGGCGGUUCGGAAAGAGAUGUGAAAUCUGAGCUUAACUUUGGAACUGCAUUUUUAUUACCGAGCUAGAGUGUGUCAGAGGGAGGUGGAAUUCCGCGUGUAGCAGUGAAAUGCGUAGAUAUGCGGAGGAACACCGAUGGCGAAGGCGGCCUCACUGGGAUAACGACGCUCAUGCGAAAGCGUGGGAGCAAACGGGAUUAGAUACCCUGGUAGUCCACGCCUAAACGAUGUCCAACUAGCUGUUGUUGGGAGCCUUCGGAGCCUUGGUAGCGCAGCUAACGCGUGAAGUUGACCGCCUGGGGUACGGUCGCAAGAUUAAAACUCGAAAUUGACGGACCACUGACCAGGUGGAUGAUGUGGAUUAAUUCGAUGCAACGCGAAAAAACCUUUACCCUUGAGGAAACGUGUCUGGAAUCCGAAAGAGAUUUGGGAGUGCUCGCAAGAAGAGCCAGGUUACAGGUGCUGCAUGGCUGUCGUCAGCUCGUGUCGUGAGAUGUUGGGUUAAGUCCCGCAACGAAACAACUAUUAUCAUUAGUUACCGAAGGGCACUCUAAUGAGACUGGCGGUGACAAACCAAGGAAGGUGAGGGAUAGUCAUGGCCCAUAUGGGUAGGGCUUCACACGUCAUACAAUGGUCGGGACAGAGGUCACCCAACCGCGAAGACAAUCCCAGAAACCCGAUCGUAGUCCGGAUCUAGUCUGCAGCUCGACUUCGUUGAAGUCAGAUCGCUAGUAAUCGCGGAUCAACGCCAAUACGGUGAAUACGUUCCCGGGUCUUAUUUAUAAUCACACCAUGGGUAAGUUUUCUCCAUCAGUCACUCCCUCAUACGGGGGCGGUCUUUGAUGGAUCCCAAAUGGUGCGAAAGUCAUGUCAGGUGGCCUGUUUACUAGCAAUGCUGUAA